This 367-nucleotide ribosomal RNA is filed under the name uncultured fungus. RNAcentral describes it as "eukaryotic LSU rRNA". It matches the Rfam family "Eukaryotic large subunit ribosomal RNA", at positions 1 to 361 of the family's 3401-position model. The record is from RNAcentral. Lineage: Eukaryota; Fungi.
UUGACCUCAAAUCAGGUAGGACUACCCGCUGAACUUAAGCAUAUCAAUAAGCGGAGGAAAAGAAACUAACAAGGAUUCCCCUAGUAACUGCGAGUGAAGCGGGAAGAGCUCAAAUUUGAAAUCUGGCGGUUCUUGACCGUCCGAGUUGUAAUCUAGAGAAGUGCUACCUGUGCUGGACCGUGUACAAGUCUCCUGGAAUGGAGCAUCACAGAGGGUGAGAAUYCCGUCUUUGACACGGACUGCCUGUACGUUGUGGUGCGCUCUCGAAGAGUCGAGUUGUUUGGGAAUGCAGCUCAAAAUGGGUGGUAAAUGCCAUCUAARGCUAAWAUUKGCGAGAGACCGAUAGCGAACCAGUACCGUGAGGGAA